AGUUUGGCUCCUAAUACUUUUCAGAAUUGCAAUUUUCCAUUUCUCUGUUUCAAAGGAAGAGUAGGAUGCAACUUGGGUUUCAGUUUCCUCAUGGCAGUGUAUGGAAAAGACCUUUCCAAACUCUGAUCUGGCUUCUGCCCUGAGGUGAACACUGUCAGAGAGAACACAGGAUUGAUGCGUGCAGUUCUUGACAUAUGUGAAAACUGGAGCACUGGAAUAUACCCUAUCACCAGAUCCCUUUGGCAGGAGUGCCAUGCAGGAGAAACACACACUCCCUCUUCCAGAUGUACCUGGAGGGGACCCCUGCCCUGGCUGAGUCAGC
This is a long non-coding RNA of Passer domesticus (house sparrow), 322 nucleotides long. RefSeq lists it as uncharacterized. The record is from RefSeq and is a predicted model, not a curated record. The transcript is spliced from 3 exons. NCBI's taxonomy places the organism in Eukaryota, Metazoa, Chordata, Aves, Passeriformes, Passeridae.